RNAcentral lists this ribosomal RNA (416 nucleotides) under uncultured beta proteobacterium. RNAcentral's name for it is "bacterial SSU rRNA". It matches the Rfam family "Bacterial small subunit ribosomal RNA", at positions 9 to 429 of the family's 1533-position model. The record is from RNAcentral. Lineage: Bacteria; Pseudomonadati; Pseudomonadota; Betaproteobacteria.
GAGUUUGAUCGUGGCUCAGAUUGAACGCUGGCGGAAUGCUUUACACAUGCAAGUCGAGCGGCAGCGCGGGGCAACCUGGCGGCGAGCGGCGAACGGGUGAGUAAUGCAUCGGAACAUGUCCAUGUCGUGGGGGAUAGCCCGGCGAAAGCCGGAUUAAUACCGCAUACGCCCGAGAGGGGAAAGUGGGGGACCGCAAGGCCUCACGCGAUUGGGUUGGCCGAUGUCCGAUUAGCUAGUUGGCGGGGUAAGAGCCCACCAAGGCGAUGAUCGGUAGCUGGUCUGAGAGGAUGAUCAGCCACACUGGGACUGAGACACGGCCCAGACUCCUACGGGAGGCAGCAGUGGGGAAUUUUGGACAAUGGGGGCAACCCUGAUCCAGCCAUUCCGCGUGAGUGAAGAAGGCCUUCGGUUGUAAG